Molecule: long non-coding RNA, 2441 nt
Organism: Helicoverpa armigera (cotton bollworm)
Lineage: Eukaryota; Metazoa; Arthropoda; Insecta; Lepidoptera; Noctuidae
Exons: 2
Source: RefSeq, a predicted model, not a curated record
UGGGGCUGGUAGUGACAGGGGUAGGUUGUUACAGUGGCAACGGUGGCGAAACAGAGAACGCUAUACUGACGUCAGAAAGAGACAAAUACUCCCGCCGCGACCGGCUACUACACCGCAAGAGCCAGUGGCGCUAACGUGUUUAUGUGAGGAGCACGCGCGUGCUGCCAUUAAAAUCGCAGGAUGAGGACGUAUAAAAGAAAAUCUGAGCGUGGCAACAUAUCUAAAGAUGUAUACGAACAAGCAGCAGUUAUUUUAGAGGAGGAUAAAACUAAAAAAGUUCGCGGCGUUGCAAAGACUUUGGAUUGUGCCAUAUGUCACUAACAAGAUUUUAAAGAAAGAAAAGAAGCAAAAGAAAAAGGUACACCUUUGGAAUCUGUCACAAUGGGGUAUAAGAAAAAUAGACAAGUUUUCAACGAUAAACAAGAGGCCGUUUUGGUGAGUUAUUUAAUUAAAUGCAGCCAGAUUUACUACGGAUUGACGCCAAAGGAUGUCAGGCAACUGGCAUUUGAAUGUGCACUUAAGCACAACUUUGUAACGCCUCAAUCGUGGCUUGAUAAUAAGGAAGCAGGAGUUGAUUGGCUGACAGCAUUUCUUAAACGUAAUCCGUCGUUAUCCAUAAGAUCACCAGAGGCUACUAGCUUGAGCAGAGCCACAUCAUUUAACAAAACGAAUAUUGAUAAUUUCUUUUCUAAACUGGCCGAUGUGUUGGACAGAUACAAAUUUCCUUCGUCACGAAUAUGGAAUGUUGACGAGACAGGUGUGACGACUGUACUGAAACCCAGAAAAAUUUUGGCUCCAAAAGGGUCUAAACAAGUUGCUUCCAUUACAUCGGCAGAGCGAGGAACACUCGUGACUGUCUGCGUAGCAGUUAAUGCAGUUGGCAACUCGGUGCCAUGUAUGUUCGUCUUCCCACGAAUUAAAUAUAGGGACUAUUUUGUUCGCGAUGGACCUCCAGGUUGUAUUGGCGCAGGAAACUCAAGCGGCUGGAUGACAGGGCUGGAAUUCCGAGUUUUUAUGAAACAUUUCAUAGGUAAUGUGAAACCUUCCGCAACCGACCCUGUGCUCUUAUUAUUGGACAACCACACUUCACACUUGGACAUUGAGGUUGUCGAAACAGCUAAAGAAAACAAUGUGGUGUUGCUGUCCUUCCCACCACAUUGUUCACAUAAGCUCCAACCUCUGGACGUGGGAGUCUACGGACCGUUCAAAAUUACUGUGCCAGUCAACAAGAUGCUUGGCUGAGAAACAAUCCUGGCAAGACAAUGUCUAUUCACGAUAUUCCAUCGAUAGUGAAUAAAGCUUUACCAUCGGCAUUGAAUCCAGCGAACAUUAUCAAUGGAUUUAAAAGACUGGUAUUGCGCCAUUUAAUAAAGAUGUUUUUCAGGAUGAUGACUUCUUGUCUGCUUUUGUGACGGAUAGACCAAUCCUCGGACAUUCCGAUGAUACACCAAUAGACGAAAUGACUAACUCAAACAUCGAAAAUAUCCCUCAUACCACAACACUGAACACAGAGGUUGAAAUUUCACCUCCACCCCCUCCCCAGUCUCCUACAGAAAGUGCCAUGGCAGAACGCGAAUACUCCAUUUAUACUAACCCAGUUGCUGGUUGUAGCAAGGAUAUAAUGCCCAAUGAAAAUGCCUUUUCUCCCGAGAUUGUUCGGCCUUAUCCAAAAGCCGCUGCGAGAACAAACAAAAUAAAACGAAAACUCGGAAAUCAGCUGUUUUAACAGACACUCCCGAAAAAACUGCGUUGGCGCUGGAACAGAGUAAGAAGAAGGAAAAUAAACCUAAAAGUGGAAAGUCUACCAAAGGGCAAAAAACAGGAAAGAAAAAUGACCAAGGAAAUACCAGUAAAGGAAAGAAAAUAAAGGGAACAGGAAAGCUUUCUGUACAGAGAAAGGUAUUACACGAAAGUGAUGAAGAAAGCGAAGAAGACGGUUAUUUUUGUCUGAUUUGUUGUGAUCCUUUUGAUCCAAAAAAAUCUGGUGAGGAAUGGGUAGAAUGUGUUGUUUGUAAGAAUUGGUCACAUGUGAAAUGUGUUAGGGGUAAUAUUGUACAUUAUGUAUGUUUGAAUUGUGAAAGUGACUGUUCAGACUACAGUGACUGAACUCUGAUCUGUUAAGUUUUUCUUUAAGAAUCUGAUUUUUUUAAGAAAGGUUAAUUUUGGUAUUUUUAUUAAUGAGUCAUAAUACUAUUCGUUUUGUUUAUUUAUACUUAUGUUUUGUUAAAUACAGAAGUUUAUAAGUUUAUAGGUCAGAAAUUAUUCAUAAAUAUUAUUUUCACGAGGUGUAAAACCAAAAAAAAAAUUGAUUUAAAUUUUAGAAUAUAACAUGUUUUUGUGUCCACGAGGAAUAAGACUGCUUUAAGCAUUAUUACUAUUGUCAUUUAAAUUAAGUAAGAACUUAAUUGUGAUAAUUAUUUCUAAUAAAAACUCUUGUAAUA